This is a long non-coding RNA of Manis pentadactyla (Chinese pangolin), 2116 nucleotides long. RefSeq lists it as uncharacterized. NCBI's taxonomy places the organism in Eukaryota, Metazoa, Chordata, Mammalia, Pholidota, Manidae. The transcript has 3 exons. The record is from RefSeq and is a predicted model, not a curated record.
CUCUAGGUAGCCGUCGUGCCCGGGGGGGCUCCGUGGAGCUUUUCACACCCGUGCCGUCGCCCGCCCUCACGCCGCCACGCAGGCCUCGCUUCCUGCCCCGUUCUGGAUGUUGAGACCCCGAGGCAUGGCGGCGCCGGCCGGUGCGGCGGGACGAAGCCCCGGCGGCGCAGGGUGCGAGAGGCGGCCCGAGCUGUCUGCUGGACCCGCCCGGCGGCACGCACGGCCAGCCUGAUGUUCUGCUGCAUGUGCAGCGCUCUGGACAUCGGGCUCUGGAAAUGGGACAAAACGAGGCCCCAUCGUGUAAAACACAGAAAAAAACACGAACAUAGUCUAAGCCACAAAAGUGACCAAACAUCUAUCUGUCUUGGCUACUAACAGCAACUGCUCCUGCUUUACCGGUUGCAAGGGCUGACACCCCUCUGUGUUCCUACGGCAGAACCCCUCUCUGGAGACAGCCUCUAAGAUCCCAUCUCCUAGCAGUCAGCUCUCGUGCUUCGAGUGUGGUCAGGGCCUGGGACUUGCUGUGGCCAAGGGUCUAGUGAGAGUGUCGGGAUGUUGGCAGGCAUGUUGUGAGUUGGCAGUACGGAGAGGACCACAGAAAGGAGCUGAGGGCUGCUUCCAGCGGACAUUGGGGAGGGCACUGAGGCCUUCGAUCCAAGAACCCACAAGGAAAUGAAUCCUGCCAACAGCCGGGUGAGCUCGGAAGUGGACCCUUCCCAGUCCAGCCUCAGAGGAAUCCUCAGGCCCGGCCAGCCCCUCGAUUGCAGCCUCGCAGGGGACUCUGUUGUGCCCGUCCUCCUGGCCUGUAGAAACCGGGGUAUAAUAGGUGGGUGUGGCUUGCUACGGUUUUGUGAUGCAGCAGUAGAUAACUCCUGCCCCUCCAUCACCAAGUCCUAUCAGUUUUAUACCGUGAUUUCGUUAGAAUCCACCCCAACCUCCACCCUCACCAAGUCUGUCACUGAAUUACAGCCCCGCUUCAGGCUCCCCUCGAGGCUUUUCCUCAGUCCCGAACACUUGUCUUUCUCAUGUGGGACCCUUGGCCUGGAAUGCGCUCUUUCCCCUUCUCCAGGGUGAACUGGGUUCAUUCCUCGGAUUGCAGCUGCGUCCUCGGUUCCUCAGGAAAACCUUUCCCGGGAGCCCAGGUGGACGCCCCCUCCUGCUGCCCCCGCAGAGCUUCCGUCGUGGCUGCCACCCUCCGGUUCCUUGUGUGAUUCUCUCAGUGAUGAUCGUAUCUCCCACCAGAGUGGGAGCAGGACGAGGCCUUUGCACAUUACUGCUGGUACCCCCGCCCCUGGCGCAUCGUGGGUGCUCACGUGUGUUGGCUGGCUGGCUGGAUCAGUGAGCGAGGGACUGUGUCCCUUGCUGAGGCUCAGAGUGCACGGCACGACCCUCGCUACCCCAGGAUCGUCAGGAAGGUUGGAGCCAAGAAUGGUGCCUCCUGUGGGCUUGCUCAGGACUCCCCAAAGUUCACUAUUUUGCUGUUAGAAAGAGAUGGAUUUCUGAUUAUGAGACUUUACACUGUCCAGAGAUGAUGAUGUCCCAGGACAUUAUCAGCAGCUUAUGUGGAAGAUGGAAUUUUCCAAUUUGCUGAAACAGUAUCUCCCAUCCCACUUGGUCUUCAAAAAUGUGUUCUUGCCACCCCCCCUCCCCUCCCCCCAUCAAGAGGUAGGCUCAGGGCCUCCACCCCCUGAACCUGGGCGAGCUGUGACCACGUCCACGGAUAGAGAAUGGAAGAUAAGCCAUUAUGUAAUUUCCAGGGCUGGGUCAUAAAAGUCCAUGCAGCUUCUGUCUGAUUCUCUGGAGGCAGCUGCUCAGGGGAAGUCAGUCACCAAGGAAGAAGUCCGGCUUUUCUGAGGCUGCCCUGCUGGAGAAGCUGUGUGUAGGCCCUGUAUUCAACAAUUCCAGGUGAGCUCCCAGCCAGCAGCCAGCACUGACUGCCAGCCUCGCAGAGUGAAUCAUCUCGGACAUCCAUCCCGGUAGAACCCCCAGAUGACCCCAGCCAGCAUCUGCGUAUGAGCUCAUGAGGGCCCCAAGCAAUGACUGCCAGCUAAGCCCGUUAUAAAUUCCUGACCAACAAAAUCACAAGCAAAAUAAAAAAAUGUUUUUAAGCUGCUAA